RNAcentral lists this long non-coding RNA (449 nucleotides) under Phoenix dactylifera (date palm). RNAcentral describes it as "long non-coding RNA (PDAC_LNC015769)". Lineage: Eukaryota; Viridiplantae; Streptophyta; Magnoliopsida; Arecales; Arecaceae. The record is from RNAcentral.
AAUCCAUCCCUAUGGUGUAGAUAGUGCAAACUGCAGUAGAUAAGGAUGAGGUAAAGCUCUUAAUGGAUACCAUAGUCCUUUAGGAUGGUGUGUCUACCUGCAGUACACACUUGAUGGAUCCACCUAUAUGGGUGUGGGAGUGGGGCCGCUUCCUAUGAGAAUUAGGCAGUUCUCUAAAGCACUCAUGAAUAUCCAGGUAAGGUGCAUGGCCUAUUUGCACCAACUCGUUUAGAACAAGCCCAGAACUUGAGAGGUCAAUGUGGGCUAUGAGUCACUGAUUUACGUAAAGGACUUUUGGUUCAUAGAAAUUUCAUGUUUCACCAAAAGUUCUGUAAGCCAUACUUACUAGUCCUAAAAAUGGUUCAUAGUCUCAAAGACACUAUUUCGAUGCAUUGAACUCUCGCGCUCGUUAACUUAUUAUUGAAUUUUAAAAUAUGUGGGGGAUUGUU